AGCGCAUGCGCAGCGGAAACUGGACAGCCUCUGGAAAUCUUUGAAUGUUUAGGGUCAAGUGUAAGGUAUUUCUAACUUCAGUAAGAGUUUGGCCUUGCCAAGAAAGGCAUUCACAGGUAUCAGCCUCUUAUAGACUAUGGUCCUUACUACGGAUCUACUUAUAUUCCAGGAAUUUGCUGUAAGAUUUUUAACAGCAGUUUUAAAAGUCAGGUUUACGUUCUUAUUUGAAGAAAUAUCAGUGUUGUGUUUGAAACAUAACAUAUCACCAUAUUUUACUUUCCGUUUUGAGACUCAGAUCAGAUGUUUGCAGCUUUCCACAUGCAGGGUAACUAGCUGUAUAAUAAUUCCUCUUUGUGACUUUUUGUAGGAAUAGUUAACAAAGCAGACCCAUUUCAGUAAUGAUACUUAGCCAUUGGAGUGGCUGUUAUAAAAAAUGUGGAAAAUAUCGGUGAAGAUGAGAAGAAAAUGAAGCUCUUGUGCAUUGCUGAAGGGAACAUCAAAUAUGACAGCAGUGGAAAGAGUUCCGUGGUUCUACAGAAAGUAAAACAUGGAAAUAUCAUAUGAUCGAGCAAUUCUGCCUCUGAAUAUAUCCCCAAAGAAAUGAAAAAGGGACUCAAACAGAUCAUAGCAGUGUUAUUCACAAUAGCCAAAAGAUAGAAAGAAACCAGAUGUCCAUCUACAGAUGAAUGAAACAGAUAUAACAUGAAAUAUACAUAUAUAUAUAUAUAUAUAUGUAUGAAUUUACAAGAUUGGCUUACAAUGGCCACUCACAGAGUCAGAUGUAGAAGAGUGCAGAGGAUUUGUCUGCACACUGGAGACCGAAGGAUUCAGUUGGAGGUCUGGAGCUCACUGCAGAGUCGGUAUCAAGAGGCUGAUGGGUCUGUGAUGGAAGGCUGAAGAGUUUACAUGGGAAGGCUGCAAAGUCUGAGCUGGAAGCUGAAGAGUCUGCACUGGAAGCCAGGAGAUGACGUCCAAAAUGAGGGCGAAGCCUGGAGCUCCUCCAAGGAAACAAGCAGAUUGAUCCUUCUCCAUCUCCCCUUUACACCGUCCGGCGACAGCCACCCUAGGAUGGAUCUUCCACACCCUAGGGUGUGUAAUUGAGCCCAUUUAGCUGAGCUUCUCUUACUCAACUUGAUGCAAUCAAUCAACUGUCACGUGUAUAUUUUGCUGCAAUUCUGAAACAAUAAAAAGAAUCAUCACACUUGGAACUUGAGAUGAUCAGGGUGCCACGGUAGCCCUUGGGAUGAACUUUAUCCCCAGCUCACCAAGCGUUUGUUUCCUGCCUCCUAAGGUUAAUACAGACGACUACUUUCCUUGAGGGAAAUACUUUUUAGCUUCAGAUUAAGAAAGAUACCUUGAACGAAUGAAAACACACUUUAUCUGCUGUAACUCUGUGCAAUAAGGUAACGAGAGUCCGUGACUGUACAUGCUGUACUUUGUGAAGCAGAAACAUCUUUUUGUCACCUCUGCCUUCCAAAUGUGUGCUCUCUCAUUCCACCAGAGAUUUACCUCUCUGCAAGAAAUGUCCCCUCCAACUUGCUACCUCAGGAAGUCCCUCCCAUCCUGUAAGUAAAGCUUUGCAGGAGUAGGACGUCCUCCUUUGCUCUCACAUUUGUAACAGAGAUCUCACAAGUGGUUUAUGUGAUGACUGCACAACGCGAUGGAGAAGAGAUCAUGGGCACACAGAGCACCCGGACUCAAGGGAGAGCAGCCCGCUCUGUGACCUGGACAGGGAC
RNAcentral lists this long non-coding RNA (1736 nucleotides) under Heterocephalus glaber (naked mole-rat). RNAcentral's name for it is "lncRNA (ENSHGLG00100036571.1)". The record is from RNAcentral. Lineage: Eukaryota; Metazoa; Chordata; Mammalia; Rodentia; Bathyergidae.